Long non-coding RNA from Gavialis gangeticus (Gharial), 1407 nucleotides. RefSeq lists it as uncharacterized. The record is from RefSeq and is a predicted model, not a curated record. The transcript has 2 exons. Lineage: Eukaryota; Metazoa; Chordata; Crocodylia; Gavialidae.
GCCCAGAGCAUUACAGAUGGACACACACACAGCCAGAAGUGCCACAGCUUUUAUUAUAUUAGAAUACUCAUCUCCAAGAAAGAGGAGACAAAUCAUUUAUGCUAUAUAUUUCCUAUGUGCAGUAGUGUAUGUCUUUUCCUAAUAUAAAUGGAGGCUGAAAUAAUAAUGGGCACUUCUACUAAUCUCAUGGGAACUACAGCAUUGUUUUACUGUUUCAGUCUUUGAGAAUUUCUCCCUCUUCAAUCCCAUCUCUUUCUCUUUUGUUAUCCUGUGACUUCACCAAGCUUGUACCUGAUUUUUGCUCCUCUGGAAGGAAAUAGCUAUUUAUAAAGUGACAACAGGGUGGAAAAUAUUGCACUGAGGUUAAACUAAUCCCAGUUUAACCUCUUGAUCUUGCCAGUAUGAUUUAUUGUCACGGGCUGCUGUGUUGUUUGAUUCUAUAUAUACACACACACAUUUGUUACUUUUCUGAUGAACAAUAAAAUAGAAUGUGUAUUGCACUUCAGCUGCCUUCUACGGUAUUCCCUUAGCCCUGUCUGUUCAGUGGUGCUACCUAGGCUUUCAUCUCAGCUGUCAAAUCAGCUUAGAACAUUUAUCUUCUUUUGGUAAUUCCACAGACACAGUAAGUUACUUUGAACUGGACCCUGCCAGCAAUAUCUAAGAGGGAGAAACACAUGUGAGAAGGACAGGAUGGUUGGCAGCAGUUUACUGGCAGAGGAAAGUAUGGAGCAGUGCUGAACACUUGUUCUUCAUUCUUCCUUAUUUUCCUAGACUGAUCAUCACCAUCAAUUAUUCUGAUGCCAAAAAUCUGGAGAAAAAAUGGAUAUUUAUCGUCUGACUGAAAUUGCUUCAGUGGUCACUUCUUAUGGAAAAUGCUUUUGGAGAUCUUCCUAUCACCUGUCUGUCACACACCUUCCACUGAAAGCUUGUAUCCCCCAUUUGCACUGGUUCAUGGCCUUGGGAAUGGUUGCUGAUACAUGUUGGAGCUUGGGCCCCCUCUUGGCCAAUGCUCUAUUCAUUGGCAGUGACAGGAUGGAUCCUUGUGUGUGUCACUCAGGUAUUCGGGUCCUAUUCAAUCUCACCUGCCAUGACUUGGGCUUAUCUUCUUUGGGAGGCAGUUCCCCAUAGGUGACUCUCUGGACUUCACACCCUGGCUUCUUCAUGGUGCUCCAACCUCUCCUAUACCACGCCCUUACGACAUCCAGGGCCUGAACUGAUGUCAGCGUCUUGAUGUUUAAGGCCACAGACAAUAAUUCUCUCAUCCUUCAUCAACAGUCUUUGAUGAGGACCCAUCUAUAGUGAUCCAUGCAUUUGUUGUCUUCAAGCUGGAGUACUUCAAUUCACUGUAGCUGAAGGUGAAUGUGAUGAUGUAGCACAGACUCCGACUAAAACAGAACAUAGCUGACU